GCCCUUAGAGUUUGAUCCUGGCUCAGGACGAACGCUGGCGGCGUGCUUAACACAUGCAAGUCGAACGGUCUAUAAGGGCUUGCCCUUAUAGGUAGUGGCGAACGGGUGCGUAACACGUGAGUAACCUGCCCCAUAGUUUGGAAUAACACCGGGAAACCGAUGCUAAUACCAAAUAUGCUCGCACUAGCACAAGCUAGAGCAAGGAAAAGAUUUAUCGCUUUGGGGAGGGGGCUCGCGGCCUUAUCAGCUUGUUGGUGAAGGUAAACGGCUCACCAAGGCUUUCGACGGGUAGCUGGUCUGAGAAGGGACGAAUCAGCCACACUGGGACUGAGACACGGCCCAGACUCCUUACGGGAGGCAGCAGUGGGGAAUAUUGCGCAAUGGGCGAAAGCCUGACGCAGCAACGCCGCGUGAGAGGAUGAAGGCUCUAGGGUCGUAAACUCCUUUCAGCAGGAAAGAAAAUGACGGUACCUGCAGAAGAAGCUCCGGCCAACUACGUGCCAGCAGCCGCGGUAAUACGUAGGGAGCAAGCGUUGUCCGGAUUUAAUUGGGCGUAAAGAGCUCGUAGGCCGGCUUAGAUAGUCGGAUGUUAAACCCCUAGGCUUAACCCUAGGGCAGCCAUUCGAUACUACUAUGGCUAGAGUUCGGUAGGGGAUUGUGGGAAUUCCCGGUGUAGCGGUGAAAUGCGCAGAUAUCGGGAGGAACACCAAUGGCGAAGGCAGCAAUCUGGGCCGAUACUGACGCUGAGGAGCGAAAGCGUGGGGGAGCAAACAGGAUUAGAUACCCUGGUAGUCCACGCCCUAAACGUUGGGCACUAGGUGUGGGACCUACUUCGACGGGUUCCGUGCCGUAGCUAACGCAUUAAGUGCCCCGCCUGGGGAGUACGGCCGCAAGGCUAAAACUCAAAUGAAUUGACGGGGAAGGGC
Molecule: ribosomal RNA, 926 nt
Filed under: uncultured bacterium
Lineage: Bacteria
Description: bacterial SSU rRNA
Rfam family: Bacterial small subunit ribosomal RNA
Source: RNAcentral